GUCUGUAGCGCGGUGGUCCCACCUGACCCCAUGCCGAACUCAGAAGUGAAACGCCGUAGCGCCGAUGGUAGUGUGGGGUCUCCCCAUGCGAGAGUAGGGAACUGCCA
This 107-nucleotide ribosomal RNA is filed under the name Escherichia coli. Lineage: Bacteria; Pseudomonadati; Pseudomonadota; Gammaproteobacteria; Enterobacterales; Enterobacteriaceae. The record is from RNAcentral.